AUGGUCACUUUACAACAUAUAUACUAAAACUAGAACAAUUACCAAGAAUAUUGGCACAGCCCCUACACGAGAAUUACAUGCAAAUUCGUGAAGUGUUCCAUUAAAAA
Molecule: small nuclear RNA, 107 nt
Filed under: Sapajus apella (tufted capuchin)
Lineage: Eukaryota; Metazoa; Chordata; Mammalia; Primates; Cebidae
Also listed under: 1 other name
Source: RNAcentral